UACAGAGGGGGCAAGCGUUGUUCGGAAUUACUGGGCGUAAAGGGCGCGUAGGCGGCCCGUCAAGUCCCGUGUGAAAGCCCCAGGCUCAACCGGGGAACGGCGCGGGAAACUAGCAGGCUUGAGUUCGGGAGAGGGAAGCGGAAUUCCGGGUGUAGCGGUGAAAUGCGCAGAUAUCCGGAGGAACACCGGUGGCGAAGGCGGCUUCCUGGACCGACACUGACGCUGAGGCGCGAAAGCUAGGGGAGCAAACGGG
This 253-nucleotide ribosomal RNA is filed under the name uncultured bacterium. RNAcentral describes it as "partial 16S ribosomal RNA". It matches the Rfam family "Bacterial small subunit ribosomal RNA", at positions 524 to 776 of the family's 1533-position model. The record is from RNAcentral.